This 1102-nucleotide long non-coding RNA is filed under the name Oreochromis niloticus (Nile tilapia). RNAcentral describes it as "lncRNA (ENSONIG00000031252.1)". Lineage: Eukaryota; Metazoa; Chordata; Actinopteri; Cichliformes; Cichlidae. The record is from RNAcentral.
CUGGCAGACUGCACACAGACAGUUUGUGUGUUUGCUGAUGUUUGUUGAGUUGAUAGAAACAUCUGAAUCUGAAAGUGCCACGGCCACAACUUAUGGACACCUGGACCCCUUCAGGGCCUACUUUAACCCCCAAGUAUAAACGCUAUAAGUGAUACCGUGUAACCUAACGUAACAAGUCUGUUAAAGAAGCAGAAGGUACAGAUAUCUGUGAAAAAUGUAGGAAAUAAAAGUAAAAAGUUUUCAGAAAAAUAAAUACUCAAUUAAAGUGCUGAUACAUCAAAAUUCUACAUAAGUCCACCUCUGUAAGGGGGCCCAGAAAUGUUUCCUGGUUGGUUUGUACCAACAGAUUGCCAUGUUGGCCUGAAAUCUUACAUGAACACAUUUCAGAACCACAUGAUGUCAGCUUUUUUGGAUAAAGCAGAAUUAGAAAAUCCUGAUUUGUCUUUUGCAGAUGCUACUUUCCUAACAGGUUAUCACACAAACACAUUUCUCUAAAUCCCCUUUAACCUCCGUGAAAUACUCAGAAUCCAAUCCCUGUAUACUAUACGUGGCAUUUGCAACUCAUUUUUUUUUUUUUGUCUCAUUCAUUUGUUCCUCCUGCUGUAUUGAGCUGCCUCUGCUGAAAUAGCCAUUGUCAUGCACUGCCAUCUGCUGGUUAAAUUUCUGAGCUACAGGUGCCAACAUCUUUGUGGUUGGUCAGACGAUGCUUCAUUAUCACCCAGACAAUAUUUUAUCAGACAGAAUGAUGUCACAGCUCUACAGAGAAAUUCACUGAAUUCAGCUUGUGCACUGGGAGCCAAACUAAAGGGAAAUAUGGGAAAUACAUGCGUGUAUUGACUGCAUGUAAAGAAUAGGUAAGUAAAGGUUGUCCUGGAAUUUGCAUGUUAUCCUAAUUUAUUGCAGUGGUUAUGAAUACAUAUGACAACAGUGUUAUUACCAAGGGAAUUCAUAUGAUGAAAAAAAUAUUUUGGUCAAAUGGUCAUUUUUAUCCACAAAAAAAGUGCAAUUUUUUUGUUUCUCUCUCCUGCAGCUGUUCGCAUGUCGAGGAAACUGUGCUUUCACCAGAGAAGUCUCAAAUGUCCCAGGAAUGGGUGGACCAAAG